AGUGGACGUAGGAGCAAGGGUUAGCUCCGAACCACUAUAAAACUGCUUGUGUUUGUGUUGGUUGCUGCUUUUUCUCUUACACUUUCUCUACUCAUUCACUGCAUUUAAAUUGCUUAACCUGAAUACUUGAAAUAGAAUUAGUUAAUCAUUAAACAUAGUUUUUUAAUUGGUCGAGAUUUAAGUCAUAACCCAAUUCACCCCCCCUCUUGGGUUGUCUUCUUGGGCAACAAUACCCCUCCCAACAGUCCAAAAACGACUAAUUUGAGGGGUAUUUUGGGAAAAAAAUAUUUGGAGUCUUAUAAAUACCCCUUUCCUCCCUCAUUCUCACCACACCAAACCAACUAUUCUCUCCUUCUCUACUACUAUUAUUUCUCUCUUCUAAAGUGCCCUUCUAGCAAUUUAAUUUUUAGAAGAGACUACAAUGGUCUAGUAGAUCUUUGAUGCUCAGCCUUUACCUGCUAACAAACU
Molecule: long non-coding RNA, 468 nt
Filed under: Phoenix dactylifera (date palm)
Lineage: Eukaryota; Viridiplantae; Streptophyta; Magnoliopsida; Arecales; Arecaceae
Description: long non-coding RNA (PDAC_LNC010360)
Source: RNAcentral